Molecule: long non-coding RNA, 406 nt
Filed under: Zonotrichia albicollis (white-throated sparrow)
Lineage: Eukaryota; Metazoa; Chordata; Aves; Passeriformes; Passerellidae
Description: lncRNA (ENSZALG00000012738.1)
Source: RNAcentral
GCAUCAGUGGUGCCCAGUGUGCAGUGAUAGCUUUGGAGUAGGAGUGCUCCAGAAGACCUCCUGGGCAUCUUUCCAGACCAGUUUGCUCUGAUCAAACAACUAAUUCUGCAAGGAUAAAAUUGGGAAAACAUCGAGAAAUGAGUGAAAGCAGUGGACCAGCUGGGAUCUGUUUACACAAACUGUUAAAGGAGAAUAGACCCCAGAGCAUCUCCUCAGCAAAGCUGCUGAAGCUGUGGCAGGACCAGGGCUGCCUCCCCAGUCAUCCCUUCACUGGUCAGUAUUGAGGGCUCUGGGACCUUGAUUUGAAGGCUGAUAAUUGAAGAUCUGAGCUUUUAAGGCGCUGCAAGAUCAAGUGAAGCAAAACUUAACACUUGGUGAGCUUUAGGAAUAUGAAUGAAGUCCAGAA